RNAcentral lists this ribosomal RNA (301 nucleotides) under uncultured bacterium. RNAcentral describes it as "partial 16S ribosomal RNA". It matches the Rfam family "Bacterial small subunit ribosomal RNA", at positions 509 to 807 of the family's 1533-position model. The record is from RNAcentral.
CAGUCGCCGCGGUAAUACGUAGGUGGCAAGCGUUGUCCGGAUUUAUUGGGCGUAAAGCGAGCGCAGGCGGUUUCUUAAGUCUGAUGUGAAAGCCCCCGGCUCAACCGGGGAGGGUCAUUGGAAACUGGGAAACUUGAGUGCAGAAGAGGAGAGUGGAAUUCCAUGUGUAGCGGUGAAAUGCGUAGAUAUAUGGAGGAACACCAGUGGCGAAGGCGGCUCUCUGGUCUGUAACUGACGCUGAGGCUCGAAAGCGUGGGGAGCAAACAGGAUUAGAUACCCCGGUAGUCCCUGUCUCUUAUAC